GUCCGGAUGGCGCAGUGGUUACCGCACCUGGAUAGUAACCAGGAAAUCCCGGGUUCGAGUCCCGGUCUGGUACA
Non-coding RNA from Schistocerca cancellata (South American locust), 74 nucleotides. The record is from the annotation of a RefSeq genome assembly. Lineage: Eukaryota; Metazoa; Arthropoda; Insecta; Orthoptera; Acrididae.